UUUCCGUAGGUGAACCUGCGGUAGGAUCAUUACCGUACAAAAGGUCAGAGGCAUCCGAGGGCUUUCGCUUAUCCCAAAGUCGUGCACGCCGGAGUGAGUUCUCUUGCAUAAUAAUCCAUCUCACCCGAUGUGCAUCACCGCGUGGGAACCCUUCGGGAUCAUCUCGGAGGGGUGCUCGCGUUUUCACACAAAACCCCCUGUUAAAAGUGUAGAAUGACCACAUUUAUGCAAUAAAUACAACUUUCAACAACGGAUCUCUUGGCUCUC
RNAcentral lists this unclassified non-coding RNA (267 nucleotides) under plant metagenome. RNAcentral's name for it is "partial contains small subunit ribosomal RNA, internal transcribed spacer 1, and 5.8S ribosomal RNA". The record is from RNAcentral.